AAUGAACGUUGGCGGCGUGGAUUAGGCAUGCGAGUCGAGCGAGAACCGUAGCAAUACGGGGACAGCGGCGAAAGGGACAGUAACGGGUAGAUUAUCUGCCCUCAGGUUUGGGAUAGCUGCGGGAAACUGCAAGUAAGACCAAAUAAUAUCUCCGGAUCAAAGGUGUGAUUCCGCCUGAGGAUGAGUUGGCCUCCUAUUAGCUUGUUGGUGGGGUAACGGCCUACCAAGGCAUUGAUGGGUAGCGGGUGUGAGAGCACGACCCGCGUCAUUGGGACUGAGACACUGCCCAGACACCUACGGGUGGCUGCAGUCGAGAAUCUUCGGCAAUGGACGCAAGUCUGACCGAGCGGCGCCGCGUGUGGGAUGAAGGCCUUCGGGUUGUAAACCACUGUCAGAGGGGAUGAAAUGCAGGUGGGUACUCCCAUUUGUUUGACAUAGCCUCAGAGGAAGUACGGGCUAAGUUCGUGCCAGCAGCCGCCGUAA
Molecule: ribosomal RNA, 483 nt
Filed under: uncultured bacterium
Lineage: Bacteria
Description: partial 16S ribosomal RNA
Rfam family: Bacterial small subunit ribosomal RNA
Source: RNAcentral